CUUAUUUUUUUACCUAUUGGCUAAGAUCAAGUGUAGUAUCUGUUCUUAUCAAUGUAAUACCCAAUGUGCUGUCUAUCUGAGAACAAUAUAUUAAAUGGAUUUUUGGAGCAAGGAGUUGGAAUAGAAACUUGCUCCCUUCACUCCACACAUCAAUCUGGUAUUCCAGCACCUCCAGGAAUGGUGCAAAAAUA
Small nuclear RNA from Suncus etruscus (white-toothed pygmy shrew), 191 nucleotides. RefSeq annotates it as U2 spliceosomal RNA. NCBI's taxonomy places the organism in Eukaryota, Metazoa, Chordata, Mammalia, Eulipotyphla, Soricidae. The record is from RefSeq and is a predicted model, not a curated record. The transcript has a single exon.